GUUCUCCGUAUCGGGACCUCCAUCUCGGUGGGCUCUGGAGCUUCGACGCUGGUCUGGUUUGAUCAUUGGGCCGGAGACACCCCCUUCGCGGCUCGCUUCCCUGGCCUCUUCUCCAUCUCCGUCGACCUCGUGAUUUCUGUUAUUAGGGCCCUUCUUGACUUAGGGCGCCUUGCUUUCCGGUGGGCCUUUGGACCCAUGGAAUCCACCGCCUGGCGUGAGUUGCUUGACUGUGUUGCUCUCCACAAACCGUUGGUGGAUGGUGGCCCUGACCUGGUGUGAUGGCGCCUUGAGCCUUUGGGCCAAUUCUCCACCAAGUCGCUAUACCUGGCCAUCGCCCCAUCUGUCGCCCCCCUCCCUCUUUCGAUGGUUUGGUCCAUCCGCCUGCCUCUGAAGAUCCGCAUCUUCAUGUGGCAAUGGAUUCGCGGUCGGAUCCCGUCCGGGGUGGAGGUGCGCAAGCGCAAUGGCCCGGGUACUGGCAUAUGCCCGCUCUGUGGGGUUCCCGAACACUCGAACCACAUUUUCUUCUCCUGCGUUUCCGCCCAGUUCCUCUGGAGCUAUUUUCGCGAAGCGGUCGGUGGAGAUUGGUGCCACACCAACUUUCCGGACUUAUUUGCCGAACUCCAGAUGUCCCCCGCGACUUCUCGCCACAUUAGGUGGCUUGAGAUUGGGGUCCUCGCCUGGACCCUUUGGACUGUCCGCAAUAAGCUAGUGAUUCAGCGCUCUCCUCUUCGUCGGUCUACUGACGCUCUCUUCAAACUCUCGGGUUUCUUGCAGCUUUUGCGGCCGCUUAGCCGCCCCCGGACCGCGACGCCAUCUCAGCCUUCAUCACCGACCUCCGAUCGAUGGCCGUUCGCCUGUCGCCGCCGCCUCCGCCGGAGCCAUACUAGGCGACUUCUUCGUCCGGCGUGUUUUGUCCUUUUUUAUUUCUGGGCUUGUUGA
Molecule: ribosomal RNA, 939 nt
Filed under: Triticum aestivum (bread wheat)
Lineage: Eukaryota; Viridiplantae; Streptophyta; Magnoliopsida; Poales; Poaceae
Description: partial small subunit ribosomal RNA
Source: RNAcentral